GGGAUUAGAUACCCCACUAUGCUUAGCCUUAAACCUAGAUGUUAAAUUUACAAGAAACAUCCGCCAGGGUACUACAAGCGCUAGCUUAAAACCCAAAGGACUUGACGGUGUCUCAGACCCACCUAGAGGAGCCUGUUCUAGAACCGAUAAUCCCCGUUAAACCUCACCACCCCUUGUUUAACCCGCCUAUAUACCGCCGUCGCAAGCUUACCCUGUGAAGGUCUCAUAGUAAGCAAAAUGGGUAGAUCCCAGAACGUCAGGUCGAGGUGUAGCUUACGAGGUGGGAAGAAAUGGGCUACAUUUUCUAUAUCAGAAUAACACGAACAGUACUAUGAAAUUAGUACUCGAAGGUGGAUUUAGUAGUAAAAAACAAAUAGAGAGUCUUUUUGAACCAGGCUCUGAGACGCGCACACACCGCCCC
Molecule: ribosomal RNA, 421 nt
Filed under: Creagrutus muelleri
Lineage: Eukaryota; Metazoa; Chordata; Actinopteri; Characiformes; Stevardiidae
Description: partial 12S ribosomal RNA
Rfam family: Bacterial small subunit ribosomal RNA
Source: RNAcentral